This 572-nucleotide small RNA is filed under the name Pongo abelii (Sumatran orangutan). RNAcentral describes it as "processed transcript". The record is from RNAcentral. Lineage: Eukaryota; Metazoa; Chordata; Mammalia; Primates; Hominidae.
GGGUGGCCCUGGAGUCUUCAUGGCUGGACCUCCUCCUCAUCCUGCAAAAGCAACUCAGGCAGUUUGGGAAGAGCCCUGCAGGCCUUGUGACUUUUGAGACUGUGGCCUCUGAGGACUGGGUGGAGGAGGAGCGUGGGGCAGGAGCAUGGCUUCCCUGCUCUGUGGCCCUCAGGGUAGACAGUGGCAAGUCCCCAGAAAGCAGGCUGGGCUGCCGAAGCACAGACUUUCUGGUUUUCAGGACUCCUUUUAUCCUCUUGAAAAGUAGUGAAACUCCAUGCAAAUUUUAUGUUUCUCUAAUGUUGGGCUUACUAGCAGGCAGCUCAGUCUCUUACCUGCUUCUGAUAUCACAGCCCCUGAAAAGGAAAACUCCAUUCUAUGAGGGAAUGAGUGACAAGACCAUAUUCUUGGAGUGCUGGCACUGUGGGUCCUGGUGACGCACGUGAUGUACAUGCAAGAUUAUUGGAGGACCUGGCUCAAGGGGCUGCGCGGCUUCUUCUUCGUGGGUGUCCUCUUCUCGGCCGUCUCCAUCGCUGCCUUCUGCACCUUCCUCGUGCUGGCCAUCACCCGGCAUC